Molecule: unclassified non-coding RNA, 377 nt
Filed under: Hevea brasiliensis (rubber tree)
Lineage: Eukaryota; Viridiplantae; Streptophyta; Magnoliopsida; Malpighiales; Euphorbiaceae
Source: RNAcentral
AGGCAUGUCACACUCGGUGCCGGAGCACCCUAUCUUAUCUUACUUUAUUCCUUUCAUAAUUUGAUCUCAUUAUAUUUUAAUAUUAAUUAUUUUUCUAAGGAGAAACCAGCGGAGUUUCCCCUAUUUUAUUACCAGUUGACGUAUUUUACUAUUUACCUGUUUGAAAAUUUCAAUAAUAUUUCCAAAAUGAAAUCUUAUCCAUGCUAAUCAUAAUUAUCUCAUCAAUCAUUUGAAAAAUCAUUAUGUAAUUCAAAUCUAUACUCAUUUGUACAAAUUCAUUCAUGCUCCAUUCUUAUAGCAAAAUUCUCAAAUUUGCAUUAAUUUACAUCAUUUGCAAUAAUUAAAUAAAUCCUUAAUUUACAUGAUAUACAAAUUAA